GGGUCAGUAGGUUGGUCGUGCCACCGGUACGUACUGGUCUCACUGAUUCCUCCUUCCUGAAGAACCGUAAUGCCAUUAAUUUGGUGUUGCGGGGAGACAGGACUGUUACUUUGAAAAAAUUAGAGUGUUUAAAGCAAGCUAACGCUUGAAUACAUUAGCAUGGAAUAAUGAAAUAGGACGAUCGACCCUAUUUUGUUGGUUUCUAGGAUUGACGUA
RNAcentral lists this ribosomal RNA (216 nucleotides) under Glomeromycotina sp. RNAcentral's name for it is "partial small subunit ribosomal RNA". The stretch from base 40 to 216 matches the Rfam family "Eukaryotic small subunit ribosomal RNA", at positions 686 to 864 of the family's 1831-position model. The record is from RNAcentral. Lineage: Eukaryota; Fungi; Glomeromycota.